UCCGAAUUAAAAUGUCUAAAUUCCUGAAAUUAAAUCCUGGAAUGGAACUUUUAAAUUGAGCAUUAUUUAUCUUAUGAAUUUUAUUAAAUAUCCAGGCAGUAAUUAAUUAUUCCUACGAGUGGGAUUACUUUAUGCGGUCUAAUCGUUACAGAGAUGUGGCUCAUAAAUUGUAUUCGGCUAGCUCGUUACUCUCAUUAAAUUUUUCUGCCAUUAAGUGAAAUUGCAGUUCCUCUUAGAAAGGUGCAUCAAAUUACUUGGCUCUGAAACGAGCGACCGAGAAAAUGCCAAAGCAGUGAGACGCAAUGAUAAUGUCGAGAAUUACCCGAGAAGUGCAAUGGAAAAAGUGUGUAUGAAAUAAGUGCAUAAUGCACUGUACGGUGCAUCCACCUCGGGAAGAACAGCGCACCAGUAUUAAUUGCACCAUUUCCCAUUUACCGUUCGAUCGUGAACUCGUAGAUUAGAAUUCUGUCUACUCCCCUUCUUCUGUACACAAUCGAGCGGUGUCGAAGUGCAAAUUAGCCUGCACUUUUGGCCAGUCGUGACUUUUCAAUCACUCAUCGAGUACGAGGUCAGGAUUUUGGAUUCGCUUGUCAAUUCUGAUACCAUAUAACAGAUAAGGAGGCUGAUGCGUGCAGAAAAGUGCACUUCCAAUCUUGGCGAACUUCAAAGAUCAGAGUCUCAAGUCGGCAACACUAGCACACGUUAAAAAGAUCCAUUAAAUUCACACACCGGGUAAACGUGGAGCUUAAGGGGGACAUUGUCAUAGAAGCCGUCCUAGAAUUUGCGUAAGAGGAACUUCCACGGCAAUAUGGAGAGCAACUAAACAAUUGUACGUGCAACUAGCAAUUUGGGUAAACGUGGAGCUUAAGGGGGACAUUGUCACAGAAGCCGUCCUAGAAUUUGCGUAAGAGGAACUUCCACGGCAAUAUGGAGAGCAACUAGACAAUACCUGCUCGUUACACCUGCGAUUCUCUGUAGUAUCCGGUAUAUGUAGUUACGUAGCAAGCCGUUCAGGAAAGGAAAUGCGAAACUGGUCUCCUGUCUCGAUAGACUGCAUCGUUGGUUUAGGUUUAUUCACCUG
This is a long non-coding RNA of Orussus abietinus, 1081 nucleotides long. RefSeq lists it as uncharacterized. The record is from RefSeq and is a predicted model, not a curated record. The transcript is spliced from 5 exons. Lineage: Eukaryota; Metazoa; Arthropoda; Insecta; Hymenoptera; Orussidae.